Molecule: ribosomal RNA, 511 nt
Filed under: uncultured Glomus
Lineage: Eukaryota; Fungi; Glomeromycota; Glomeromycetes; Glomerales; Glomeraceae
Description: SSU rRNA
Rfam family: Eukaryotic small subunit ribosomal RNA
Source: RNAcentral
AGCAGCCGCGGUAAUUCCAGCUCCAAUAGCGUAUAUUAAAGUUGUUGCAGUUAAAAAGCUCGUAGUUGAAUUUCGGGGUUAGUAGGUUGGUCAUGCCUCUGGUAUGUACUGGUCUCACUGAUUCCUCCUUCCUGAUGAGCCGUAAUGCCAUUAAUUUGGUGUUGCGGGGAAUUUGGACUGUUACUUUGAAAAAAUUAGAGUGUUUAAAGCAGGCUCACGCUUGAAUACAUUAGCAUGGAAUAAUGAAAUAGGACGUUUGACCCUAUUUUGUUGGCUUCUAGGAUUGACGUAAUGAUUAAUAGGGAUAGUUGGGGGCAUUAGUAUUCAAUUGUCAGAGGUGAAAUUCUUGGAUUUAUUGGAGACUAACUACUGCGAAAGCAUUUGCCAAGGAUGUUUUCAUUAAUCAAGAACGAAAGUUAGGGGAUCGAAGACGAUCAGAUACCGUCGUAGUCUUAACCAUAAACUAUGCCGACUAGGGAUCGGAUGAUGUUAAUUUUUUAAUGACUCAUUC